Molecule: ribosomal RNA, 301 nt
Filed under: uncultured bacterium
Lineage: Bacteria
Description: partial 16S ribosomal RNA
Rfam family: Bacterial small subunit ribosomal RNA
Source: RNAcentral
CAGUCGCCGCGGUAAUACGGAGGGGGCUAGCGUUGUUCGGAAUUACUGGGCGUAAAGCGCACGUAGGCGGUUUUGUAAGUCAGAGGUGAAAGCCCGGAGCUCAACUCCGGAACUGCCUUUGAGACUGCAUCACUUGAACGUCGGAGAGGUGAGUGGAAUUCCGAGUGUAGAGGUGAAAUUCGUAGAUAUUCGGAAGAACACCAGUGGCGAAGGCGGCUCACUGGACGACUGUUGACGCUGAGGUGCGAAAGCGUGGGGAGCAAACAGGAUUAGAUACCCCAGUAGUCCCUGUCUCUUAUAC